RNAcentral lists this ribosomal RNA (460 nucleotides) under uncultured bacterium. RNAcentral's name for it is "partial 16S ribosomal RNA". It matches the Rfam family "Bacterial small subunit ribosomal RNA", at positions 338 to 795 of the family's 1533-position model. The record is from RNAcentral.
CCUACGGGAGGCAGCAGUGAGGAAUAUUGGUCAAUGGGCGUAAGCCUGAACCAGCCAAGUCGCGUGAGGGAUGAAGGUUCUGUGGAUCGUAAACCUCUUUUAUCAGGGAAUAAAGUGUGGGACGUGUCCUCUUUUGUAUGUACCUUAUGAAUAAGGAUCGGCUAACUCCGUGCCAGCAGCCGCGGUAAUACGGAGGAUCCGAGCGUUAUCCGGAUUUAUUGGGUUUAAAGGGUGCGUAGGCGGCCUUUUAAGUCAGCGGUGAAAGGCUGUGGCUCAACCCCAGACUUGCCGUUGAAACUGGCGGGCUUGAGUUGGUGUGAGGUAGGCGGAAUGCGUGGUGUAGCGGUGAAAUGCUUAGAUAUCACGCAGAACCCCGAUUGCGAAGGCAGCCUGCCAGGCCAUGACUGACGCUGAGGCACGAAAGCGUGGGGAUCAAACAGGAUUAGAUACCCUAGUAGUC